Molecule: transfer RNA, 91 nt
Filed under: Aspergillus bertholletiae
Lineage: Eukaryota; Fungi; Ascomycota; Eurotiomycetes; Eurotiales; Aspergillaceae
Description: Aspergillus bertholletius tRNA-Pro
Source: RNAcentral
GCCCGGAUGGUCUAGUGGUAUGAUUCGCGCUUAGGGCGAUAACCCAAAGCAAAAUUGCGCGAGGUCCCCGGUUCGAUCCCGGGUUCGGGCC